GGCUCAGGACGAACGCUGGCGGCGUGCCUAAUACAUGCAAGUCGAGCGGACUUGAUGGAGAGCUUGCUCUCCUGAUGGUUAGCGGCGGACGGGUGAGUAACACGUAGGCAACCUGCCUGCAAGACCGGGAUAACCCACGGAAACGUGAGCUAAUACCGGAUAUCUCAUUUCCUCUCCUGAGGRGAUGAUGAAAGACGGAGCAAUCUGUCACUUGCGGAUGGGCCUGCGGCGCAUUAGCUAGUUGGUGAGGUAACGGCUCACCAAGGCGACGAUGCGUAGCCGACCUGAGAGGGUGAACGGCCACACUGGGACUGAGACACGGCCCAGACUCCUACGGGAGGCAGCAGUAGGGAAUCUUCCGCAAUGGGCGAAAGCCUGACGGAGCAACGCCGCGUGAGUGAUGAAGGUUUUCGGAUCGUAAAGCUCUGUUGCCAGGGAAGAACGUCCGRUAGAGUAACUGCUAUCGGAGU
RNAcentral lists this ribosomal RNA (470 nucleotides) under Paenibacillus sp. R-45675. RNAcentral's name for it is "bacterial SSU rRNA". It matches the Rfam family "Bacterial small subunit ribosomal RNA", at positions 21 to 470 of the family's 1533-position model. The record is from RNAcentral. Lineage: Bacteria; Bacillati; Bacillota; Bacilli; Caryophanales; Paenibacillaceae.